UUAAGCGACUAAGCGUACACGGUGGAUGCCCUGGCAGUCAGAGGCGAUGAAGGACGUGCUAAUCUGCGAAAAGCGUCGGUAAGGUGAUAUGAACCGUUAUAACCGGCGAUGUCCGAAUGGGGAAACCCAGUGCAAUUCGUUGCACUAUCGUUAACUGAAUACAUAGGUUAACGAGGCGAACCGGGGGAACUGAAACAUCUAAGUACCCCGAGGAAAAGAAAUCAACCGAGAUUCCCCCAGUAGCGGCGAGCGAACGGGGAGCAGCCCAGAGUCUGAAUCAGCUUGUGUGUUAGUGGAACGGUCUGGAAAGUCCGACGGUACAGGGUGAUAGUCCCGUACACCAAAAUGCACAGGUUGUGAACUCGAAGAGUAGGGCGGGACACGUGGUAUCCUGUCUGAAUAUGGGGGGACCAUCCUCCAAGGCUAAAUACUCCUGACUGACCGAUAGUGAACCAGUACCGUGAGGGAAAGGCGAAAAGAACCCCGGCGAGGGGAGUGAAAAGAACCUGAAACCGUGUACGUACAAGCAGUGGGAGCACCUUCGGGUGUGACUGCGUACCUUUUGUAUAAUGGGUCAGCGACUUAUAUUCUGUAGCAAGGUUAACCGUAUAGGGGAGCCGCAGGGAAACCGAGUCUUAACUGGGCGUUAAGUUGCAGGGUAUAGACCCGAAACCCGGUGAUCUAGCCAUGGGCAGGUUGAAGGUUGGGUAACACUAACUGGAGGACCGAACCGACUAAUGUUGAAAAAUUAGCGGAUGACUUGUGGCUGGGGGUGAAAGGCCAAUCAAACCGGGAGAUAGCUGGUUCUCCCCGAAAGCUAUUUAGGUAGCGCCUCGUGAACUCAUCUUCGGGGGUAGAGCACUGUUUCGGCUAGGGGGUCAUCCCGACUUACCAACCCGAUGCAAACUACGAAUACCGAAGAAUGUUAUCACGGGAGACACACGGCGGGUGCUAACGUCCGUCGUGAAGAGGGAAACAACCCAGACCGCCAGCUAAGGUCCCAAAGUCAUGGUUAAGUGGGAAACGAUGUGGGAAGGCACAGACAGCCAGGAUGUUGGCUUAGAAGCAGCCAUCAUUUAAAGAAAGCGUAAUAGCUCACUGGUCGAGUCGGCCUGCGCGGAAGAUGUAACGGGGCUAAACCAUGCACCGAAGCUGCGGCAGCGACACUAUGUGUUGUUGGGUAGGGGAGCGUUCUGUAAGCCUGCGAAGGUGUGCUGUGAGGCAUGCUGGAGGUAUCAGAAGUGCGAAUGCUGACAUAAGUAACGAUAAAGCGGGUGAAAAGCCCGCUCGCCGGAAGACCAAGGGUUCCUGUCCAACGUUAAUCGGGGCAGGGUGAGUCGACCCCUAAGGCGAGGCCGAAAGGCGUAGUCGAUGGGAAACAGGUUAAUAUUCCUGUACUUGGUGUUACUGCGAAGGGGGGACGGAGAAGGCUAUGUUAGCCGGGCGACGGUUGUCCCGGUUUAAGCAUGUAGGCUGAUUAUCCAGGCAAAUCCGGAUAAUCAAGGCUGAGGUGUGAUGACGAGGCACUACGGUGCUGAAGUAACAAAUGCCCUGCUUCCAGGAAAAGCCUCUAAGCAUCAGGUAACAUUAAAUCGUACCCCAAACCGACACAGGUGGUCAGGUAGAGAAUACCAAGGCGCUUGAGAGAACUCGGGUGAAGGAACUAGGCAAAAUGGUGCCGUAACUUCGGGAGAAGGCACGCUGGUGUGUAGGUGAAGCCCCUGCGGGUGGAGCUGAGACCAGUCGAAGAUACCAGCUGGCUGCAACUGUUUAUUAAAAACACAGCACUGUGCAAACACGAAAGUGGACGUAUACGGUGUGACGCCUGCCCGGUGCCGGAAGGUUAAUUGAUGGGGUUAUCCGUAAGGAGAAGCUCUUGAUCGAAGCCCCGGUAAACGGCGGCCGUAACUAUAACGGUCCUAAGGUAGCGAAAUUCCUUGUCGGGUAAGUUCCGACCUGCACGAAUGGCGUAAUGAUGGCCAGGCUGUCUCCACCCGAGACUCAGUGAAAUUGAACUCGCUGUGAAGAUGCAGUGUACCCGCGGCAAGACGGAAAGACCCCGUGAACCUUUACUAUAGCUUGACACUGAACAUUGAGCCUUGAUGUGUAGGAUAGGUGGGAGGCUUUGAAGCGUGGACGCCAGUCUGCGUGGAGCCAACCUUGAAAUACCACCCUUUAAUGUUUGAUGUUCUAACGUUGGCCCCUUACCGGGGUUGCGGACAGUGUCUGGUGGGUAGUUUGACUGGGGCGGUCUCCUCCCAAAGCGUAACGGAGGAGCACGAAGGUUAGCUAAUCCUGGUCGGACAUCAGGAGGUUAGUGCAAUGGCAUAAGCUAGCUUGACUGCGAGCGUGACGGCGCGAGCAGGUGCGAAAGCAGGUCAUAGUGAUCCGGUGGUUCUGAAUGGAAGGGCCAUCGCUCAACGGAUAAAAGGUACUCCGGGGAUAACAGGCUGAUACCGCCCAAGAGUUCAUAUCGACGGCGGUGUUUGGCACCUCGAUGUCGGCUCAUCACAUCCUGGGGCUGAAGUAGGUCCCAAGGGUAUGGCUGUUCGCCAUUUAAAGUGGUACGCGAGCUGGGUUUAGAACGUCGUGAGACAGUUCGGUCCCUAUCUGCCGUGGGCGCUGGAGAAUUGAGGGGGGCUGCUCCUAGUACGAGAGGACCGGAGUGGACGCAUCACUGGUGUUCGGGUUGUCAUGCCAAUGGCACUGCCCGGUAGCUAAAUGCGGAAGAGAUAAGUGCUGAAAGCAUCUAAGCACGAAACUUGCCCCGAGAUGAGUUCUCCCUGAGACUUUAAGUCUCCUGAAGGAACGUUAAAGACGAUGACGUUGAUAGGCCGGGUGUGUAAGCGCAGCGAUGCGUUGAGCUAACCGGUACUAAUGAACCGUGAGGCUUAACCUU
RNAcentral lists this ribosomal RNA (2899 nucleotides) under Klebsiella pneumoniae. RNAcentral describes it as "bacterial LSU rRNA". It matches the Rfam family "Bacterial large subunit ribosomal RNA". The record is from RNAcentral. Lineage: Bacteria; Pseudomonadati; Pseudomonadota; Gammaproteobacteria; Enterobacterales; Enterobacteriaceae.